GGUGUCCGCCCGCCCUCCAUCCCGCUGGCUCCGCGAUGCUGUCCCGGUCCCGCUGCGUGUCCCGGGCGUUCAGCCGCUCGCUUUCUGCCUUCCAGAAGGGGAACUGCCCUCUAGGGAGACGUUCCCUGCCUGGGGUCUCCUUAUGUCAGGGACCAGGUUACCCUGACAGCAGGAAGAUGCAUUAACAACAGUAGCGUCUUCAGUGUUCGCUUCUUCCAAACCACGGCAGUGUGCAAGAAUGAUGUGAUUACAGUCCAGACCCCAGCGUUUGCAGAGUCUGUCACAGAGGGAGAUGUCAGGUGGGAGAAAGCUGUUGGAGAUGCAGUUGCAGAAGAUGAAGUGGUGUGUGAGAUUGAGACAGACAAGACUUCUGUGCAGGUUCCAUCACCAGCAAAUGGCAUCAUUGAAGCUCUUUUGGUACCCGAUGGGGGCAAAGUUGAAGGAGGAACUCCU
This 453-nucleotide long non-coding RNA is filed under the name Rattus norvegicus (Norway rat). RNAcentral's name for it is "long non-coding RNA NONRATT025195". The record is from RNAcentral. Lineage: Eukaryota; Metazoa; Chordata; Mammalia; Rodentia; Muridae.